CUUACAAAGCAACAUACGGACUUGGUUGGGUUACAAACUGCUCUGUGAUCUUACUGCCUGUGAACUUCCACCCAGAGGAGAGAGGAAGCUUCCCAGGGCCAGGAUGGCACCAGCCAGUGCAAGGUCGAUGGUUAUAAAUAUUCGGCAGACACAGAGAUUGCAGUCAGAACACGAGAAGUCUCUGCAGUGACACAAGUCCUUACGUGCAGGGAGCGGAGCCUCCCAGGACCGGGCAGUGUGAAGCGGGAACAGCCUGGAAGCUGGAGGAAGAGGAUCUGGGAGCGGCACGCUGACAAUAAACCCAAACCAGAACGACAUGUAGACGGAGGCAGAGUACAUGUUAUCAUCUCCCCAUUUUACAGCAGAACAAACAGGCUCAGAGAGUACAUAGGUAUUUUCUCAGAGUCUCAUAACAGGAUAAAGAGGGCACUGAGUCGGUGAGCGCGCUGAGGGCGAAGCUGGAAAUUCCCGCGACAUCAUCCUGGCCCUGACUCAGAAGUAAUGAGUGUUGGAGAAUCCUGGGCACCCAUGGAUACCAUUGCUGCUGGCUGAUGUCUGCCAAGAGAGAGGCUGUGCCUUCUUAGCCUGAAUUCUUUACUUUCGAAACAAAUGAGUUGUAACAUGUCACACCUGAUUAUGACAAUGCAGUUUGAGAACCAACCAACC
This is a long non-coding RNA of Physeter macrocephalus (sperm whale), 666 nucleotides long. RefSeq lists it as uncharacterized. The record is from RefSeq and is a predicted model, not a curated record. Lineage: Eukaryota; Metazoa; Chordata; Mammalia; Artiodactyla; Physeteridae. The transcript is spliced from 6 exons.